RNAcentral lists this ribosomal RNA (416 nucleotides) under uncultured microorganism. RNAcentral's name for it is "bacterial SSU rRNA". It matches the Rfam family "Archaeal small subunit ribosomal RNA", at positions 330 to 743 of the family's 1478-position model. The record is from RNAcentral.
GUGCAGCAGUCGCGAAACCUCCGCAAUGCGCGAAAGCGCGACGGGGUUACCCCGAGUGCCGUCCGCUGAGGACGGCUUUUGCCCAGUGUAGCCAGCUGGGCGAAUAAGGAGAGGGCAAGUCUGGUGUCAGCCGCCGCGGUAAUACCAGCUCUCCGAGUGGUGGGGACGCUUAUUGGGCCUAAAGCAUCCGUAGCCGGUCUGGCAAGUCCCUUGUUAAAUCCAACGAUUCAAUCGUUGGACUGCAAGGGGAUACUGCCAGACUAGGGGGCGGGAGAGGCCGACGGUAUUCCCCGGGGUAGGGGUGAAAUCCUAUAAUCCCGGGAGGACCACCAGUGGCGAAGGCUGUCGGCUAGAACGCGCCCGACGGUGAGGGAUGGAAAAGCUGGGGGAGCGAACCGGAUUAGGAUACCCCGGUA